CAGAACUCUCAGAUCUGCAAUGGCUUUCUCUGCUACGAGAUCUAUCCAAUUUACCCUUCCACAGUCCAAAUUUCACACAAUAUUACACAUAACAUCUAACACGAAUCAUACAUUUUCGAUUUCACAAAUUGUUAACCUUUCUACCUCUAAUUCCUACGAAUUUCUCAUCAAUCAUCACCCAAAUUCGUUCAUCAAUAAGUCACAAGUUCAUCACAUAUAUCAUUCAAUCAGAGGCAAUUUCAAUGGUUUCUCACUACCCAUCACAUACUAUCCCAUAAUACCCGUUAAUCGAUGAUAAACCCCCCUUACCUGAGUUAAUCCGGCACUUCCGUUAGCUUCAAGCUUUUCCUCUUCUCUUGCUCUGCCUCUUUGCCUUUUUCCACUUUCAGCCGCUUCUCUGUUCCUUUUCACGUGAAAACCCUUUUUACCACAAAUGGGACUUUUUAUUAUUCCAACUUAUUU
This 462-nucleotide long non-coding RNA is filed under the name Lathyrus oleraceus (garden pea). RNAcentral's name for it is "Pisum sativum (pea) long non-coding RNA (PSAT_LNC019856)". The record is from RNAcentral. Lineage: Eukaryota; Viridiplantae; Streptophyta; Magnoliopsida; Fabales; Fabaceae.